RNAcentral lists this ribosomal RNA (253 nucleotides) under uncultured bacterium. RNAcentral's name for it is "partial 16S ribosomal RNA". It matches the Rfam family "Bacterial small subunit ribosomal RNA", at positions 524 to 776 of the family's 1533-position model. The record is from RNAcentral.
UACGGAGGAUGCGAGCGUUAUCCGGAUUUAUUGGGUUUAAAGGGUGCGUAGGCGGAAUAAUAAGUCAGCGGUGAAAGCCUGUGGCUCAACCAUAGAAUUGCCAUUGAUACUGUUAUUCUUGAGUAUAGUUGAAGUGGGCGGAAUGUGUAAUGUAGCGGUGAAAUGCUUAGAUAUUACACAGAACACCAAUUGCGAAGGCAGCUCACUAAGCUGUUACUGACGCUGAGGCACGAAAGCGUGGGGAGCAAACAGG